AAGGGUGAAUUUACAACAGGAACAUGCAAUCGCCUAUUGACUGUAGUUGAAGAGAUAGAGGGGGCAAUGAGAGUCAGGAGGCUAGAGUUGCAGGAAGCAAGGAACAGAGCAGUAUUGGCAGAAAAAAGUAGGCUCGAGUUAUUGAGAAAGUUGAAGGAAUCAGAAGAGAUGGUGAAAAAACUUACAACACACGACAGAUUCCUAUUGGAAGAUAACAGGAAAACAAAGGAAAACUUGAUGCAGCAAAAGGUAUUGUUACAUAUCAUCAUUUGUUUUUAUCUGGUGCUUAUGUUGCAGCAAAUUUUACAAGCAGGAAAAAAAAGUUAAAUUUUAAUACGGGAAGUAUAUUCAUUAGCAUUGCACAUAAAUUAAACAAAUCUACUAUAGGUUUGUUCAACGGGAAUUAUGGUCAUGGAAUGCAUCCUGUAUAAUGAAACUCAGUUUGGUUGCAUUGCAUUUCUGAAUUUGUUUAAAUGUCUCUUUCAGUACAGAUAUAUUACUGGAUAUGAUAUGUAUGAAUGUCAAGUAUAAAUUCUCAUUUUUUUAAGGAUAGCCUGAUCAGCUGACCAUAUGCUAUAUGUUUAAUGGCCUUUAACAAAGAUGUUUUCGAAUUUUUUGUCUUCUCUAACUGUGGUGGAAGAUCAAGCUAAAGACGACAAGUUGAUAUGGGAACUGCUCAGAAACAAAAGGAAGUAUCAGAUACCAGACAGUCCAUCUGGUCCGGAACAGCUUCUAGGCAUAGGAACUUAUGACAAAAACCUUAAAUCAACAAGCAAGAUUUCCUCAAUCAGUUGCAUAAUUACAAGGCCACAAACAAAAGGGCACUCCAGGCUACUCUUGGGUUCUUCUCCUUCAGCAAACGCUCAAAGAGUCUUGUCCCGCAAGCGUGUUACUCCUUGACUUCAAGCUUAAAUCAGUGCAUCAUUCUAGAAGCUUCAGGGGACAUUGUAAUUAGAGAAACUAAUGGUCUCUUUGGCUUCCUAUUGUUCUUGACUUUUU
RNAcentral lists this long non-coding RNA (999 nucleotides) under Olea europaea (common olive). Its description in RNAcentral is "long non-coding RNA (OEUR_LNC004582)". The record is from RNAcentral. Lineage: Eukaryota; Viridiplantae; Streptophyta; Magnoliopsida; Lamiales; Oleaceae.